UAAGACGAACCGUGCGAACGUUGUUCGGAUUCACUGGGCUUAAAGGGCGCGUAGGCGGGCCAUCCAGUCUGGGGUGAAAUACUUCGGCUCAACCGGAGAACAGCCUUAGAUACUGAUGGUCUCGAGGGAGGUAGGGGUGCGCGGAACUUCCGGUGGAGCGGUGAAAUGCGUAGAUAUCGGAAGGAACGCCGGUGGCGAAAGCGGCGCACUGGAUCUCUUCUGACGCUGAGGCGCGAAAGCCAGGGGAGCGAACGGGAUUAGAUACCCCGGUAGUCCUGGCCCUAAACGAUGGGUACUAGGUAGUAGGCCGCAUGGGUUUACUGCCGAAGCAAAAGUGAUAAGUACCCCGCCUGGGGAGUAUGGUCGCAAGGCUG
Molecule: ribosomal RNA, 374 nt
Filed under: uncultured bacterium
Lineage: Bacteria
Description: bacterial SSU rRNA
Rfam family: Bacterial small subunit ribosomal RNA
Source: RNAcentral